GACGAAGGACCCAAGCGUUAUCCGGAUUCAUUGGGUUUAAAGGGUGCGUAGGCGGAUUGAUAAGUCAGUGGUGAAAUCCUGCAGCUUAACUGCAGAACUGCCAUUGAUACUGUCGAUCUUGAAUAUGUUUGAUGUGGGCGGAAUAUGACAUGUAGCGGUGAAAUGCUUAGAUAUGUCAUAGAACACCGAUUGCGAAGGCAGCUCACAAAGCCAUUAUUGACGCUGAGGCACGAAAGUGUGGGGAUCAAACAGG
RNAcentral lists this ribosomal RNA (253 nucleotides) under uncultured bacterium. RNAcentral describes it as "partial 16S ribosomal RNA". It matches the Rfam family "Bacterial small subunit ribosomal RNA", at positions 524 to 776 of the family's 1533-position model. The record is from RNAcentral.